Long non-coding RNA from Suricata suricatta (meerkat), 691 nucleotides. RefSeq lists it as uncharacterized. The transcript has 2 exons. The record is from RefSeq and is a predicted model, not a curated record. NCBI's taxonomy places the organism in Eukaryota, Metazoa, Chordata, Mammalia, Carnivora, Herpestidae.
UUCUAAGGGUGGGAGGGUGGUGGCGCCGCAAGUGGUUGGGAAUGGUUGGGAAAUGAGUCAGUUAAUGGAAUAAGCAGGCUCUAGGAAGAGAAUGGAGACCACAAAGCUGAAAAGGGCAGUGGCGAUGCUCGUCUGACCCCUUCCAACCCAGAUAAUACCAACGUACUUGCGGGGGUUCUUGGAGCGACCCAUCAGAGGGGCUCGACGGAAGCGUGAGUUCAGAAAUUCCUCCUGCUCCAGGUUUACUGCAUGACACCUGGGAGUGCAGCCAAGCGCGGCCGGUCACCCUUACUCCCCGGACCCCGGACCCGAAACCGCAGCUCCAGAUGCGUUGCAAUCAAGCUCUGCGACGGCUGACCCUCGAGGGAAUGCGGCGACAUCGAGGUAGCGUCCUUAUAGCCGGGCGCCCCCCUCCGGGAAAGACGGCCACCGAGGCUCCACGGACAGUAGUCUCCGCGGGGCCUGCCGGGAAAUGUAGUCGCUCAAAAGGGGCAUCGGAAGCGAGAAAGCAUUGACCCUUGCCCCGAAACCACUUAUGUGAGUCUCCCCAAUCGCCGAGAUGGGGAUGCCAAGGGUCCCGGGGAUUCUUACCCAGCCUCUGCCAGGGGCUCUCCGUUUCCAGCUCGUCCUGCUCCCUUCUCAUUUCAAAAAAAAAAAAAAAAAAAAAAAACAACUGCCCCCACCUGUCUCC